RNAcentral lists this ribosomal RNA (253 nucleotides) under uncultured bacterium. RNAcentral describes it as "partial 16S ribosomal RNA". It matches the Rfam family "Bacterial small subunit ribosomal RNA", at positions 524 to 776 of the family's 1533-position model. The record is from RNAcentral.
UACGUAGGUGUCAAGCGUUGUCCGGAUUUAUUGGGCGUAAAGCGCCCGCAGGCGGCUUGCCAAGUUCGAUGUGAAAUCUCCCGGCUCAACUGGGAGGGUGCAUCGAAAACUGGCAGGCUUGAGGCAGGGAGAGGGAUGUGGAAUUCCAGGUGUAGUGGUGAAAUGCGUAGAUAUCUGGAGGAACACCGGUGGCGAAGGCGGCAUCCUGGACCGAGAUUGACGCUGAGGCGCGAAAGCCAGGGGAGCAAACGGG